UCCCUGGUGGCUCAGAUGGUAGAGAAUCUGCCUGUGAUGCAGGAGAUCCAGGUUUGAUCCCUGGGUUGAGAA
RNAcentral lists this transfer RNA (72 nucleotides) under Bos taurus (domestic cattle). It matches the Rfam family "tRNA". From Rfam's summary of the family: Transfer RNA (tRNA) molecules are approximately 80 nucleotides in length. Their secondary structure includes four short double-helical elements and three loops (D, anti-codon, and T loops). Lineage: Eukaryota; Metazoa; Chordata; Mammalia; Artiodactyla; Bovidae. The record is from Rfam by way of RNAcentral. RNAcentral also lists the same sequence under 3 other names.